Molecule: non-coding RNA, 520 nt
Filed under: uncultured Glomus
Lineage: Eukaryota; Fungi; Glomeromycota; Glomeromycetes; Glomerales; Glomeraceae
Also listed under: 1 other name
Description: SSU rRNA
Rfam family: Eukaryotic small subunit ribosomal RNA
Source: RNAcentral
AGCAGCCGCGGUAAUUCCAGCUCCAAUAGCGUAUAUUAAAGUUGUUGCAGUUAAAAAGCUCGUAGUUGAAUUUCGGGAUUGACGUGAUGGUCAUGCCUUAAGGGGUAUGAACUGUUACUGUUGAUUUCUCACCUUCUGGAGAAACUUGAUGUCCUUUAUUGGGUGUCUUGCGGAUCCAGGACCUUUACCUUGAAAAAAUUAGAGUGUUUAAAGCAGGCAUUUUUGCUCGAAUACAUUAGCAUGGAAUAAUAGAAUAGGACGGCAUGGUUCUAUUUUGUUGGUUUCUAGGAUCACCGUAAUGAUUAAUAGGGAUAGUUGGGGGCAUUAGUAUUCAAUUGUCAGAGGUGAAAUUCUUGGAUUUAUUGAAGACUAACUACUGCGAAAGCAUUUGCCAAGGAUGUUUUCAUUAAUCAAGAACGAAAGUUAGGGGAUCGAAGACGAUCAGAUACCGUCGUAGUCUUAACCAUAAACUAUGCCGACUAGGAAUCAGACGAUGUUAAUUUUUUUCAAUGACUCGUUU